GAUGAACGCUGGCGGCGUGCCUAAUACAUGCAAGUCGAGCGAACGGACGAGAAGCUUGCUUCUCUGAUGUUAGCGGCGGACGGGUGAGUAACACGUGGAUAACCUACCUAUAAGACUGGGAUAACUUCGGGAAACCGGAGCUAAUACCGGAUAAUAUUUUGAACCGCAUGGUUCAAAAGUGAAAGACGGUCUUGCUGUCACUUAUAGAUGGAUCCGCGCUGCAUUAGCUAGUUGGUAAGGUAACGGCUUACCAAGGCAACGUUGCAUAGCCGACCUGAGAGGGUGGUGGGCCACCAUGAAACUGAGACAGGGUCCAAACUCCUACGGGAGGCAGCAGUGGGCAAUCUUCCGCAAUGGGCGAAAGCCUGGCGGAGCAGCGCCGCGUCAGUAAUGAAGGUCUUCGGAUCGUAAAACUCUGUUAUUAGGGAAGAACAUAUGUGUAAGUAACUGUGCACAUCUUGACGGUACCUAAUCAGAAAGCCACGGCUAACUACGUG
Molecule: ribosomal RNA, 497 nt
Filed under: uncultured bacterium
Lineage: Bacteria
Description: partial 16S ribosomal RNA
Rfam family: Bacterial small subunit ribosomal RNA
Source: RNAcentral